Molecule: ribosomal RNA, 497 nt
Filed under: uncultured bacterium
Lineage: Bacteria
Description: partial 16S ribosomal RNA
Rfam family: Bacterial small subunit ribosomal RNA
Source: RNAcentral
GAUGAACGCUGGCGGCGUGCCUAAUACAUGCAAGUCGAGCGAACGGACGAGAAGCUUGCUUCUCUGAUGUUAGCGGCGGACGGGUGAGUAACACGUGGAUAGCCUACCUAUAAGACUGGGAUAACUUCGGGAAACCGGAGCUAAUACCGGAUGAUAUUUUGAACCGCAUGGUUCAAAAGUGAAAGACGGUCUUGCUGUCACUUAUAGAUGGAUCCGCGCUGCAUUAGCUAGUUGGUAAGGUAACGGCUUACCAAGGCAACGAUGCAUAGCCGACCUGAGAGGGUGAUCGGCCACACUGGAACUGAGACACGGUCCAGACUCCUACGGGAGGCAGCAGUAGGGAAUCUUCCGCAAUGGGCGAAAGCCUGACGGAGCGACGCCGCGUGAGUGAUGAAGGUCUUCGGAUCGUAAAACUCUGUUAUUAGGGAAGAACAUAUGUGUAAGUAACUGUGCACAUCUUGACGGUACCUAAUCAGAAAGCCACGGCUAACUACGUG